This is a non-coding RNA of Paramuricea clavata, 328 nucleotides long. The record is from the annotation of a GenBank genome assembly. NCBI's taxonomy places the organism in Eukaryota, Metazoa, Cnidaria, Anthozoa, Malacalcyonacea, Plexauridae.
GUCAAAUGAAACCACUUAAUAUAAAACAGGCCUAAUCUUUCUAUAACGUCUUCCAGUCAGAACGCGAAUGAACAAGUUAAUAGCUAUUUUGCGGGUUAUUUUGCCUCAAGAAUGAGUCUAGUUUCGUUUUGUUUAAGUCGUGCACUAUAACUACAUUGGGAUUAUUAAAGUUGCAUGGAUCAGGCAAUAUUGGCACACUUAAAAAAUCGCUUUAGAAGGCAGAGAAAUAGGCGGGCACGCAAAUCAAUUGAAGGCUGUAAGAAAUAAUAGAGGUAUGAGAACGGAAAACAAUUCGUAUUCUGUCGUAUGUAAUUAUGAAUUGAAUAAC